This is a long non-coding RNA of Podarcis raffonei (Aeolian wall lizard), 844 nucleotides long. RefSeq lists it as uncharacterized. NCBI's taxonomy places the organism in Eukaryota, Metazoa, Chordata, Lepidosauria, Squamata, Lacertidae. The record is from RefSeq and is a predicted model, not a curated record. The transcript is spliced from 3 exons.
AACAACCUUAGACUGCUGGCCGACUGCUUGCAGGUUUGCCGCAGGCAUCCACUUGGCCACUAUGAGACCAGAGUGUUGGACUUAGAUGCGCCAUUGAUCCAACAGGCUCGCUUUAUGUUCUUAUUAUUCCGCUAUAUGAUCGGUCUCUACCCUUUCUCGGCACCCAAAGCCCUGUGUCGAUCCUAGGCGGCUCGUCUGAGCGCAGGGACUGGCAAGGGACUCCAUGCUUCGUUAUUUUUCCGGAACUGACAGCUUGGUCCUUUCCACGUUUUCUCGGAAUUCAGUAGGUCCGUUUGCACACUUUACACAGGGGGGGGGGAGCCUAACGUAAGGACUUCCAAGGAAGCAUAAGCAGGAUCGGGUUGCGCUUGCAUAUAUUAUGCCCGGCGAGAGAAAUGCGGUGUUUAUUCUUAAAACUGCGCGCUCCUCUUUGCAAAUAGAGCGGCUGCGGGGGCUUAAGAUUCUUUGUGACGUAGGCGCGCCUUUGGCCACGUGCGCUUUUACGAACAAGAAACUGUCAACAGCCCCUUCAGAGGAGAUCGGGGCAUCGAGGAAGCAAGUUGCAGCCUCCUCUCGGGAGAAACCUGGGGCGAUCUCCAUGGAUCCGGAAAACUGAAUCGGCACAUCAGAGGAGGAUUUCUUUUUGCACCUUGGAGCCUUUAACUAUCAUGAGUGAAGUAGUAAACCCUGUUUCCACCAGCAACAUUUAUUUGGACCUAGAAAGCUGCAGCACAGCUUCAGAGAUCUCCCAAAAUGAAGUGCAGGAUUCAGUGAGGAAAAGUGGACUUGACUGCACACUCUACAAAGAAGACCAUUAUUCUGAGCUGAUGUUUGAAGAUUUCAC